Molecule: long non-coding RNA, 604 nt
Organism: Chinchilla lanigera (long-tailed chinchilla)
Lineage: Eukaryota; Metazoa; Chordata; Mammalia; Rodentia; Chinchillidae
Exons: 3
Source: RefSeq, a predicted model, not a curated record
CAGGAAAAGAAAUUGAGCCCAGUGCAAAUAAAUGACUUGGCAAAGGCCAUGCGUCUAGCAUAUGUGACGGCAGGGGAUGCAAAAGCAAAGAUGGGACUUGCAAGCUUGCCCUCCACCCUCCAACACUGACAUCCCACCCAGUGCCGACAUCCACAGGCUGUGUCAUCCUACGCACUCACCCCUCCUCUCUCUUCUCAGUUGCCUUUUCAGGAAUAUGAGAAAUGACAAAAAUGGAUACUAUUCCCCAAGGAUCAAGUUCAAAAUUCUGGAAAUCGAACAAAGGGACUGAACGAAUUGGGAAGCAUUUAUUCAAGAAAGACUACUGAACCUCAGCUUUGGUCUUUCAGCCUGGGGGAGCAGACUCUCUAGCUUCCAGCACCAACCCUUGGACUUUGCAGCACAGAUCAUUCAGUCUUUCAUCAUGGACUCCGUACCAUCCUGGUGUGGACUUGCCAUGGACAUUCGUGGCAUCCAGGUCCUCACAUCUCCAGAGAACAUAUAGAUCUCUUGCACUCUUCUACAUCUGACUCUUGUAAACAUUGACUAAUACAACAUUCCUAUAUAUUUCUGGCUCAAGCUAAGCACAAAAAUAAAAGAGACUGGA